UUUCCGUAGGUGAACCUGCGGAAGGAUCAUUCCCAAUUUUUUUUUUCUCUCUUCAUUGAGAGGAAAGAAUUUGGUAUUCACCCAGUCUAUUGCAACGAUUCCUGGGUUAACAAAGAAUGGAUUUUCAAUUAAAAACAUUUUUUUUUAAUUACCAAUUGAUUCUUAAUUGAAUUGAAGUAUAAAAAAAAAGAAAGAAGGCUCUCAAUUGAGACUUUGGACUUUUUUUAAACAACUUUAAGCAAUGGAUCUCUUGGCUCUCGCAUCGAUGAAGAGCGUAGCAAAUUGCGAUAAUUAGUGCGAUCUGCAUUCUGCGAAUCAUCGAGUUCUUGAACGCACCUUGCACCCUUUGGCUUGUCCUUGGGGUAUGCUUGUUUCAGUACAACUAUAAACCCACAAAUGACAUUUUUUUAUUGAAAUGUCCAUUGGGAUUGGGAUGUCAAAGGGAAACCUUUCAUCCUGAAAAUGAGUCCAUAGGAUUAAAAAAUCAAUUGAGGUUUUUUUUUUUCCUUUGCAUCAAAUUUUUUUCAAUUAGAAAAAAAGCAAUUGGGAAAAAAGGAUCCAAUUCUUCAAACUCGUUGUCUGAAAUCAAGUAGGAUUACCCGCUGAACUUAA
RNAcentral lists this unclassified non-coding RNA (612 nucleotides) under Syncephalastrum racemosum. RNAcentral describes it as "partial contains ITS1 and 5.8S rRNA". The stretch from base 231 to 382 matches the Rfam family "5.8S ribosomal RNA". Lineage: Eukaryota; Fungi; Mucoromycota; Mucoromycetes; Mucorales; Syncephalastraceae. The record is from RNAcentral.